UACGGGGGGGGCAAGCGUUGUUCGGAAUUACUGGGCGUAAAGGGCUCGUAGGCGGCCAACUAAGUCAGACGUGAAAUCCCUCGGCUUAACCGGGGAACUGCAUCUGAUACUGGAUGGCUUGAGUUCGGGAGAGGGAUGCGGAAUUCCAGGUGUAGCGGUGAAAUGCGUAGAUAUCUGGAGGAACACCGGUGGCGAAGGCGGCAUCCUGGGCCGGUACUGACGCUGAGGAGCGAAAGCGUGGGGAGCAAACAGG
RNAcentral lists this ribosomal RNA (253 nucleotides) under uncultured bacterium. RNAcentral describes it as "partial 16S ribosomal RNA". It matches the Rfam family "Bacterial small subunit ribosomal RNA", at positions 524 to 776 of the family's 1533-position model. The record is from RNAcentral.